GAAUACCGUUACAUUUUCACAGCCUUGACGAGGCUGGUCUGUAAAGGGAAAACUGACCGUAGACUGACCUCGCUGAUUGUGUUUGGAGGGCAGCCACAUUUCUGACUGAUGUUUAGACACUAAACAUGUCAAAGUGAAGCACUGAUCUAAGAAUGAUUAUUAAGGAUAAAUAUUUUGUGUUGCUUUAAGAUAAAUAAUUAUCUUAAUUUUUAAAGAUGUUUACUUAAGUGUUUACUUAAAAAGUAGUGUUUUGACUUAGAAAAAGAUUUAAUUUUACAGAUGGGGAAAUGGAUAUUGUUACUGCCACAUCCUGCUGUUUACAGAUGUCACAUGUAAUAUCCUAACUGAUGAUCCUUCAACCUCUUUAACUAUGCUUUUCUCUUUUUGGCAGCAUAAGAGUGUAAAAGGGAAUCGGUUCCAUCUUGAGAUAUAUAGACGGACACACUAUUAGUAGAACACUGACAUACGUAAAUGACAUUGUUCGGGUUUUUGUCAAUAAUGUAGUAUGGUUAUAGGGAAUUCAGUAUGUACCUUAACAGCCUGGUACCUGAAAUAAAGAUGUCACAAUAUCACAAAGAA
Long non-coding RNA from Carassius carassius (crucian carp), 579 nucleotides. RefSeq lists it as uncharacterized. The transcript has 2 exons. The record is from RefSeq and is a predicted model, not a curated record. Lineage: Eukaryota; Metazoa; Chordata; Actinopteri; Cypriniformes; Cyprinidae.